AAGUCGUAACAAGGUUUCCGUAGGUGAACCUGCGGAAGGAUCAUUACGAAAUUCGGCGCGCUUCGGCGCUGCCUUAUUCACCCACCCUUUGUCUACGCGUACCUCUAUAGCUUCCUCGGCGGGCUCGCCCGCCGCCAGGAACCCACCAAACCCCUUGCAUUAUACACGAAAACUUCUGAUAACAAACCUAAAUUAUCACAACUUUCAACAAUGGAUCUCUUGGUUCUG
Molecule: unclassified non-coding RNA, 228 nt
Filed under: air metagenome
Description: partial contains small subunit ribosomal RNA, internal transcribed spacer 1, and 5.8S ribosomal RNA
Rfam family: Eukaryotic small subunit ribosomal RNA (bases 1-46)
Source: RNAcentral